Molecule: ribosomal RNA, 268 nt
Filed under: uncultured bacterium
Lineage: Bacteria
Description: partial 16S ribosomal RNA
Rfam family: Bacterial small subunit ribosomal RNA
Source: RNAcentral
GCAAGUCGAACGAAGCAUUUACACGGAUUUCCUUCGGGGAUGAAGGGUUUAUGACUGAGUGGCGGACGGGUGAGUAACGCGUGGGCAACCUGCCCCGUACCGGGGGACAACAGCCGGAAACGGCUGCUAAUACCGUAUACGUUUUAAGGACCGCAUGGUCCUUAAAACAAAACUCCGGUGGUACGGGAUGGGCCCGCGUCUGAUUAGCUCGUUGGCGGGGUAACGGCCCACCAAGGCGACGAUCAGUAGCCGGCCUAAGAGGGCGGCC